GUCUGGCGGCUAGAGCAAAUUCGUUGUCGAAACAUUAAAAACAUUUUAGUAGUUUUUUUCCUGGAUUCGCAGGGUUUUUGUUAAUUUUAUUCUAGUUGAGUGGUCUGAGUGGUAGAAUUAUUCAUUUGGUGCCAUUUUUUCAAUAUUUGUCGGCAUGCGGGACGCUCAGAAGUGCGUUAUUCCCGCGUGCGAAAGUCGUUCCUUUGUGGGUUGUCAGGUUAGUUUUUUCCCCGUUCCGACAACUGGACAAUGUGUAUCGCCGGUGGACAAAUUUCGGUCUCCGGAGACCGCAACGAAAGAAUCUGCAGCAAGCAUUUCGUCGAGAGCGAUUUCAUGCAAAAAACACGGAGCAAACUGAAACCGGAUGCCGUUCAUCUGUUAAAAUCUUUGUCGGAGGUGUGAGAACAGACCGGGGCAUUACGUGUUGUUUCCGGCAAUGGCCACCUAAAAGGAAAGCCAUCAUGCACUGUUUCCCGGGACGAAAACUAAUAAGGCGGCGAUGGAAAAUUAUUAUUGGGAUGAAAGACUCCGACGAUCCGACAGGCUUCCGGAUUUGCAGUCCCCAUUUCAAAACACAGACUUCACCAGAGCCUUUCCUGACAACCAUGGAUAAAUAGGAUACCAUAUAUGUUACACGAUAAACACUGCAUCCUGGAAGAUAUACAUCGACAUUAACCAGUGACCUGCAUCAUCCUAGUGGAGGUGCAGUUUAAUACCUACUUAUUAACGUUAUUUAAUUCCUCUUUUUUAUACAGCUUGGUCAAUAAACAAUACUGGGUGGGAA
Aedes albopictus (Asian tiger mosquito) is the source of this 784-nucleotide long non-coding RNA. RefSeq lists it as uncharacterized. The record is from RefSeq and is a predicted model, not a curated record. Lineage: Eukaryota; Metazoa; Arthropoda; Insecta; Diptera; Culicidae. The transcript is spliced from 3 exons.